This 301-nucleotide ribosomal RNA is filed under the name uncultured bacterium. Its description in RNAcentral is "partial 16S ribosomal RNA". It matches the Rfam family "Bacterial small subunit ribosomal RNA", at positions 509 to 807 of the family's 1533-position model. The record is from RNAcentral.
CAGUAGCCACGGUAAUACAGAGGAUGCAAGCGUUAUCCGGAAUUAUUGGGCGUAAAGGGCUCGCAGGCGGUUUCUUAAGUCCGAUGUGAAAGCCCCCGGCUCAACCGGGGAGGGUCAUUGGAAACUGGGAAACUUGAGUGCAGAAGAGGAGAGUGGAAUUCCACGUGUAGCGGUGAAAUGCGUAGAGAUGUGGAGGAACACCAGUGGCGAAGGCGACUCUCUGGUCUGUAACUGACGCUGAGGAGCGAAAGCGUGGGGAGCGAACAGGAUUAGAUACCCCCGUAGUCCCUGUCUCUUAUAC